Molecule: ribosomal RNA, 253 nt
Filed under: uncultured bacterium
Lineage: Bacteria
Description: partial 16S ribosomal RNA
Rfam family: Bacterial small subunit ribosomal RNA
Source: RNAcentral
UACGUAGGGUGCAAGCGUUGUCCGGAAUUAUUGGGCGUAAAGAGCUCGUAGGCGGUCUGUCGCGUCGGCUGUGAAAACUCGGGGCUCAACUCCGAGCUUGCAGUCGAUACGGGCAGGCUAGAGUUCGGCAGGGGAGACUGGAAUUCCUGGUGUAGCGGUGAGAUGCGCAGAUAUCAGGAGGAACACCGGUGGCGAAGGCGGGUCUCUGGGCCGAUACUGACGCUGAGGAGCGAAAGCGUGGGGAGCGAACAGG